GAUGAACGCUGGCGGCGUGCCUAAUACGUGCAAGUAGAACGCUGAAGGAGGAGCUUGCUCUUCUGGAUGAGUUGCGAACGGGUGAGUAACGCGUAGGUAACCUGCCUGGUAGCGGGGGAUAACUAUUGGAAACGAUAGCUAAUACCGCAUGACAACAGUUAUUGCAUGAUAACUGUUUAAAAGGGGCAACUGCUCCACUACCAGAUGGACCUGCGUUGUAUUAGCUAGUUGGUGAGGUAACGGCUCACCAAGGCGACGAUACAUAGCCGACCUGAGAGGGUGGUCGGCCACACUGGGACUGAGACACGGCCCAGACUCCUACGGGAGGCAGCAGUAGGGAAUCUUCGGCAAUGGACGGAAGUCUGACCGAGCAACGCCGCGUGAGGGAAGAAGGGUGUCGGAUCGUAAAGCUCUGUUGUAAGAGAAGAACGAGUGUGAGAGUGGAAAGUUCACACUGUGACGGUAUCUUACCAGAAAGGGACGGCUAACUACGUG
RNAcentral lists this ribosomal RNA (495 nucleotides) under uncultured bacterium. RNAcentral's name for it is "partial 16S ribosomal RNA". It matches the Rfam family "Bacterial small subunit ribosomal RNA", at positions 28 to 507 of the family's 1533-position model. The record is from RNAcentral.